AGCUCCAAUAGCGUAUAUUAAAGUUGUUGCAGUUAAAAAGCUCGUAGUUGGAUUUCUGGCAGAGCCGGUUGGUCCGCGCCGCAAGGCGUGUGCACCGCUCCGCGCUCGGCCUUCUUGGGGAGGAAGGCGUCUGCCGUUCAUUCGGCGGGCGUCCGGAGCCCCCUCGUUUACUGUGAAAAAUUAGAGUGUUUAAAGCAGGCUUACGCCGUUGAAUACAUUAGCAUGGAAUAAUAAGAUAAGACUUUGGCGGUCUAUUUUGUUGGUUUGCACGCCAAGGUAAUGAUUAAUAGGGAUAGUUGGGGGUAUUCGUAUUCAAUUGUCAGAGGUGAAAUUCUUGGAUUUAUGGAAGACGAACUACUGCGAAAGCAUUUACCAAGGAUGUUUUCA
RNAcentral lists this ribosomal RNA (387 nucleotides) under uncultured eukaryote. RNAcentral's name for it is "SSU rRNA". It matches the Rfam family "Eukaryotic small subunit ribosomal RNA", at positions 587 to 972 of the family's 1831-position model. The record is from RNAcentral.